AGGAACAUGUCCAGAGGUGGGGGACAACCCCGGGAAACUGGGGCUAAUACCGCAUAUCGGCUGAGGCCGAAAGCAGUGAUGCGCCUUUGGAGUGGCCUGCGUCCGAUUAGGUAGUUGGUGGGGUAAAGGCCUACCAAGCCUGCGAUCGGUAGCUGGUCUGAGAGGACGACCAGCCACACUGGGACUGAGACACGGCCCAGACUCCUACGGGAGGCAGCAGUGGGGAAUAUUGGACAAUGGGGGCAACCCUGAUCCAGCAAUGCCGCGUGGGUGAAGAAGGUCUUCGGAUCGUAAAGCCCUUUCGGCGGGGACGAUGAUGACGGUACCCGCAGAAGAGGCCCCGGCUAACUUCGUGCCAGCAGCCGCGGUAAUACGAAGGGGGCUAGCGUUGCUCGGAAUUACUGGGCGUAAAGGGCGCGUAGGCGGCUUGCCAAGUCAGGCGUGAAAUUCCUGGGCUCAACCUGGGGACUGCGCUUGAUACUGGCUGAGCUUGAGGAUGGAAGAGGCUCGUGGAAUUCCCAGU
This 523-nucleotide ribosomal RNA is filed under the name uncultured bacterium. RNAcentral's name for it is "bacterial SSU rRNA". It matches the Rfam family "Bacterial small subunit ribosomal RNA", at positions 119 to 674 of the family's 1533-position model. The record is from RNAcentral.